RNAcentral lists this ribosomal RNA (310 nucleotides) under Segatella copri DSM 18205. RNAcentral describes it as "bacterial SSU rRNA". It matches the Rfam family "Bacterial small subunit ribosomal RNA", at positions 524 to 833 of the family's 1533-position model. Lineage: Bacteria; Pseudomonadati; Bacteroidota; Bacteroidia; Bacteroidales; Prevotellaceae. The record is from RNAcentral.
UACGGAAGGUCCGGGCGUUAUCCGGAUUUAUUGGGUUUAAAGGGAGCGUAGGCCGGAGAUUAAGCGUGUUGUGAAAUGUAGAUGCUCAACAUCUGCACUGCAGCGCGAACUGGUUUCCUUGAGUACGCACAAAGUGGGCGGAAUUCGUGGUGUAGCGGUGAAAUGCUUAGAUAUCACGAAGAACUCCGAUUGCGAAGGCAGCUCACUGGAGCGCAACUGACGCUGAAGCUCGAAAGUGCGGGUAUCGAACAGGAUUAGAUACCCUGGUAGUCCGCACGGUAAACGAUGGAUGCCCGCUGUUGGUCUGAAU